CCUACGGGGUGCAGCAGUGGGGAAUAUUGCACAAUGGGGGAAACCCUGAUGCAGCCACGCCGCGUGCGUGAAGACGUCUUUCGGUACUUACAACUCUAUCUGCAGGGAAGAACAUGACGGUACCUUUCUAAGAAUCCACAGCUAACUAAGGGCCAGCAUCCGCGGUCACACUUCGGGGGCACGCGUUAUCCGGAGUUACUGGGUGUAAAUGGUGCUUAUUCGGCAGCCCAAGUCUCACGGGAAAUCCCACGGGUUAACCAUGGAACUGCUUUGGAAACUGUGCAGCUGGAGUGCAGGAGAGGUAAGCGGAAUGCGUGGUGUAGCGGUGAAAUGCGUAGAUAUUAGGAGGAACACCAGUGGCGAAGGCGGCUUACCGGCCUGUAACUGACGUUGAGGCUCGAAAGCGUGGGGAGCAAACAGGAUUAGAUACCCCAGUAGUC
This 440-nucleotide ribosomal RNA is filed under the name uncultured bacterium. Its description in RNAcentral is "partial 16S ribosomal RNA". It matches the Rfam family "Bacterial small subunit ribosomal RNA", at positions 338 to 795 of the family's 1533-position model. The record is from RNAcentral.